Molecule: ribosomal RNA, 228 nt
Filed under: uncultured bacterium
Lineage: Bacteria
Description: partial 16S ribosomal RNA
Rfam family: Bacterial small subunit ribosomal RNA
Source: RNAcentral
UACGUAGGGACCAAGCGUUGUCCGGAAUCAUUGGGCGUAAAGAGCGUGUAGGCGGCUUAUCAAGUCCUGCGUGAAAUCUCGGGGCUCAACUCCGAGCGGUCGUGGGAAACUGGUUGGCUAGAGUGCGGGAGAGGAGAGUGGAAUUCCCAGUGUAGCGGUGAAAUGCGCAGAUAUUGGGAACGAAGCACCCGUGGGCGAGGGCGGCUCUCUGGAACGCAACUGACGCUG